This 469-nucleotide ribosomal RNA is filed under the name uncultured bacterium. RNAcentral's name for it is "partial 16S ribosomal RNA". It matches the Rfam family "Bacterial small subunit ribosomal RNA", at positions 28 to 507 of the family's 1533-position model. The record is from RNAcentral.
GAUGAACGCUGGCGGCGUGCUUAACACAUGCAAGUCGAACGGUGAACCCGGAGCUUGCUCUGUGGGAUCAGUGGCGAACGGGUGAGUAACACGUGAGCAACCUGCCCCUGACUCUGGGAUAAGCGCUGGAAACGGCGUCUAAUACUGGAUAUGUGACGUGACCGCAUGGUCUGCGUUUGGAAAGAUUUUUCGGUUGGGGAUGGGCUCGCGGCCUAUCAGCUUGUUGGUGAGGUAAUGGCUCACCACGGCGUCGACGGGUAGCCGGCCUGAGAGGGUGACCGGCCACACUGGGAUUGAGGCACGGCCCAGACUGCUACGGGAGGCAGCAGUGGGGAAUAUUGCACAAUGGGCGAAAGCCUGAUGCAGCAACGCCGCGUGAGGGAUGACGGCCUUCGGGUUGUAAACCUUUUUUAGCAGGGAAGACGCGAAAGUGACGGUACCUGAAGAAAAAGCGCCGGCUAACUACGUG